This 274-nucleotide ribosomal RNA is filed under the name uncultured bacterium. Its description in RNAcentral is "partial 16S ribosomal RNA". It matches the Rfam family "Bacterial small subunit ribosomal RNA", at positions 523 to 796 of the family's 1533-position model. The record is from RNAcentral.
AUACGAAGGGGGCUAGCGUUGUUCGGAAUUACUGGGCGUAAAGCGCGCGUAGGCGGACUGAUCAGUUGGGGGUGAAAUCCCAGGGCUUAACCCUGGAACUGCCACCAAUACUGUCAGUCUUGAGUUCGGGAGAGGUGAGUGGAAUUCCUAGUGUAGAGGUGAAAUUCGUAGAUAUUAGGAAGAACACCAGUGGCGAAGGCGGCUCACUGGCCCGAUACUGACGCUGAGGCGCGAAAGCGUGGGGAGCAAACAGGAUUAGAAACCCUAGUAGUCC